CUGGCCGUUCAAGGAUGAAGAAUCUUACUAUGCCUUCUAUUGACAUUUGGGUCUACAUUUUGAUCUUGGCUGAACCAUCAUGUGAGCUUCUAUGACCAACUCCUCCACUCCUUCAAUAGUGCAAGACCAGCAAUUUAGGAAAGUACAGAAUCCUAUCAUGGAAAACCUUUUUGUCAAAAGAAGAUAGUGAUGAAAAGGAGGUCAUGAAUAUCAGAGGAAGAAUGAUUGUUCACUGCUCAUUUACCUCUGUUGAAGAAACAUGACUAAUCUCACUGUUGUAAUAUGGGUAUAAGAUUCCUCACAUCAUUAACACUGCAUGAUAAUAUUUCCAUAGAGAACUCAAAACAGUUCAUAAUUUCUAAUGAUGCGCGUUCGACAUAAUUUCGGUAUUGCUUCCAAUGAGUCACAACUAGAAAUAUCCAAGUAAAUUAAAUUCCACAUUUCAAGUCCUUGAAGCUGAGUAAGUUUCUUGCAGUCUCGAACUCUUAGAGAUUGUAAUUUCUCACAUCCUGUCAAAUUUGGCAAAGUCUCCAUUGAUUUGCAUCCCGUAAAAUCCAACUUUUCUAAGAACUUUGCACUGUCAAGACCUUCAAUUUUGACUAGAUUGCCGCUCCCAACAGCCUUUAAUUCCUUCAAACAAGGUAAUUCUAGACAGUGAAGCCUUUCAAUGGAAUUGCAGUCCUCUAAAGAUAUCAACUCCAAGGAACUGCACUUUUUUAUUGAAAGCUCUUCAAAGUGCACGAGUCCAUUGAGCGAAAGUGAUGUUAGCUUAUCCCACUCCUCAAAACAGAGUUUUAGUGGUAUUGAGGAAAGCUUGUGGAUGUCUUCAAGUAAAUGGCGUACCUCAAGAUGGAGUUUUUCUAGGUGGAUGAGGGCCUUG
This 880-nucleotide long non-coding RNA is filed under the name Eucalyptus grandis. Its description in RNAcentral is "long non-coding RNA (EGRA_LNC000728)". The record is from RNAcentral. Lineage: Eukaryota; Viridiplantae; Streptophyta; Magnoliopsida; Myrtales; Myrtaceae.